CGCUGAUGCUUGAUGUGCAGGAUGAGAACCUGCCGCAGGUUCGACUGAAUCGUCAGGAACGAUUCAGGCUGAUGCGACAGCAUCACCCGUAGGGCGAGGCCCCGGAUGGGCCGAGGCAUAUCCUGCACGACCCACCA
This 137-nucleotide small RNA is filed under the name Candidatus Pantoea formicae. RNAcentral's name for it is "RtT sRNA". It matches the Rfam family "RtT RNA". Rfam says of the family: This family represents a bacterial cis-regulatory element known as RtT RNA. The record is from RNAcentral. RNAcentral also lists the same sequence under 1 other name. Lineage: Bacteria; Pseudomonadati; Pseudomonadota; Gammaproteobacteria; Enterobacterales; Erwiniaceae.